Molecule: ribosomal RNA, 253 nt
Filed under: uncultured bacterium
Lineage: Bacteria
Description: partial 16S ribosomal RNA
Rfam family: Bacterial small subunit ribosomal RNA
Source: RNAcentral
UACGUAGGGUGCGAGCGUUGCCCAGAUUUACUGGGCGUAAAGAGCGCGCAGGCGGUCGAUCAAGUCGAGUGUGAAAGCCCCCGGCUCAACUGGGGAGGGUCAUUCGAUACUGAUCGACUCGAAGGCAGGAGAGGGUAGUGGAAUUCCCGGUGUAGUGGUGAAAUGCGUAGAUAUCGGGAGGAACACCAGUGGCGAAGGCGACUACCUGGCCUGUUCUUGACGCUGAGGCGCGAAAGCUAGGGGAGCAAACGGG